RNAcentral lists this ribosomal RNA (388 nucleotides) under Crustomastigaceae sp. RNAcentral's name for it is "partial small subunit ribosomal RNA". It matches the Rfam family "Eukaryotic small subunit ribosomal RNA", at positions 582 to 975 of the family's 1831-position model. Lineage: Eukaryota; Viridiplantae; Chlorophyta; Mamiellophyceae; Dolichomastigales; Crustomastigaceae. The record is from RNAcentral.
AUUCCAGCUCCAAUAGCGUAUAUUUAAGUUGUUGCAGUUAAAAAGCUCGUAGUUGGAUUUCGGGUGUCAUCUGCCGGUCCGCCGUUUCGGUGUGCACUGGCGGGCGUCAUCUUUCUGUCGAGGACGCGCUCCUGUCCUUUAUUGGUCGGGACGCGGAGUCGGCGAGGUUACUUUGAAAAAAUUAGAGUGUUCAAAGCGGGCUUACGCUUGAAUAUAUUAGCAUGGAAUAACACUAUAGGACUCCUGUUCUAUUUUGUUGGUCUUCGGGACGGGAGUAAUGAUUAAGAGGAACAGUUGGGGGCAUUCGUAUUUCAUUGUCAGAGGUGAAAUUCUUGGAUUUAUGAAAGACGAACUUCUGCGAAAGCAUUUGCCAAGGAUGUUUUCAUCA